GAUGAACGCUAGCUACAGGCUUAACACAUGCAAGUCGAGGGGAAACGACAUCGAAAGCUUGCUUUUGAUGGGCGUCGACCGGCGCACGGGUGAGUAACGCGUAUCCAACCUGCCCACCACUUGGGGAUAACCUUGCGAAAGUAAGACUAAUACCCAAUGAUAUCCCACGAAGACAUCUGAAUGGGAUUAAAGAUUUAUCGGUGAUGGAUGGGGAUGCGUCUGAUUAGCUUGUUGGCGGGGUAACGGCCCACCAAGGCAACGAUCAGUAGGGGUUCUGAGAGGAAGGUCCCCCACAUUGGAACUGAGACACGGUCCAAACUCCUACGGGAGGCAGCAGUGAGGAAUAUUGGUCAAUGGGCGAGAGCCUGAACCAGCCAAGUAGCGUGCAGGAAGACGGCCCUAUGGGUUGUAAACUGCUUUUAGAAGGGAAUAAAGUGGGUCACGUGUGACUUUUUGCAUGUACCUUAUGAAUAAGGACCGGCUAAUUCCGUG
This 492-nucleotide ribosomal RNA is filed under the name uncultured bacterium. RNAcentral's name for it is "partial 16S ribosomal RNA". It matches the Rfam family "Bacterial small subunit ribosomal RNA", at positions 28 to 507 of the family's 1533-position model. The record is from RNAcentral.